Molecule: long non-coding RNA, 3586 nt
Organism: Parus major (Great Tit)
Lineage: Eukaryota; Metazoa; Chordata; Aves; Passeriformes; Paridae
Exons: 3
Source: RefSeq, a predicted model, not a curated record
UGUCCAAGGCUCACACCAGGUUGUGUGACUCACAAUCCUCACAGACCUGCUUCUGUGGUGCUUAGCCCAUGGAGCAGCAAUGGAGUGUCCCUGUGUGCACUUGUCACACUGAUUAGGGAGAAGCUGAAAUAUCACAUCUAUACAUCUCAUUUUACUCUGAGGGAUCUUAUCCUCUCCAUGGAGAAAUUAGUUUGCACCUCAAACAUGUGAAUUAACUGAAUACCGUUGGACAUUGUACUCACCUAGGUCACAGUUCAGUCCUCAGUAGAUAGUCAAUGUCCAGAGUUUUUAGAAAAAAAAGAAAAAAUGUGUUGAGUUGAUGACAAAUAUUGGUCAAAUCAACCUCCCAUUCAAACUCUGUUCUCCUGCUUAAACCAUCAAGAAAAUAAAUGAUCCAAAGCAAUAAGACAAAAGGCAACAGGCAGACACUGAUGCACAGGAACUGCCACCUGAAUAUGAGGAAAAUCUUCUUUACUGUGCUGAUGACUGUGCACUGGAACAGGUUGUCCAGAGAGGUUGUGGAGUCUCCCUCACUGGAGAUAUGGGAGAACUGUCUGGACAUAACCCUGUGCAAUGUGCUUGAGCAGGGAGGUUGGCCCAGGUAAUUCACUUUGAUUCCUUCCAACCUUAUUCAUUCUGUGAUUCUGUGAUAAUCUUCUUACACCAAAUAAGUGAAAAAAUAUUCUUAUAGAAAAAAAAACCAAAAAAACAACAAAAUCUGACAUUUGGUAAUUUCCAUCAGGAUAAACAAGUGCUUGACUUUUAUGUUGCAUAUGGAAAAUUUCACAGGCAUAGUCUCUGAGGAAAUGGAAUAUGAACUAAGCAUUUUCUGAAUGGUGUUUUCUAGAACCAAGAAAAUAUCAUACUAGAAACAAAGUCUUCAAGACAUAAUGUCACUCAAAGCUCUUCAUUUUACAGAAGAAAUACAAUUGCAGUUCUUAUAACAAUGAGGAUACUGAUACAUUUUCAACCAAUCCAAAUAUUCCAACUGAAAAGUGGCUUGAAAUCAGAUUUUUCCCACAGCAACAAAUUUAUCAUUAGGGACUAGUAUAAUUGGAAUAGUUUCCAUUUAUUUAAUUACAGAAGCAUUUAAUUUAUUUUACCUUUGACAGAAACAAACAGAAUUGAUGCUGACAUCAAAGCAGGGCUGCUACUUGUUAAUGUAACUCUAGAUUUUAAAAUAACAGUUAUAAACAGAUUUUCUAAGUUCUUGCAGAAAAAAGUUCUUUAGGCAGGUGGUAAAACAUUAAUUUUUUUUGUUCCAAGAUGGUCAUCAAACAAUUUAUGCAUAGGUAGCUGCUGGUAAUUACUGCAUGGAAUGAUUUUAUCUAUUUUAAUAUUCAUCCUCUUUGCACUUGGGUCUUAUUUUCCAGAUAGUGCCAGGAAUUGGUAAUAAGGAAGCUGUUAUUAGUGAACUCAGAACUUGAUCUUUUCCUAGUCAGCCUGGGAAAUGAGACAAAGCAAAACAGUAGUGCUGAAGAUUCCUAGGGAAAAACCUGUAUUCUGUUCCAUUCCAUGCUAAGCAGUGCCAUGCUAUGCCAUCUACACUAUGCUAUGCUCUUCUUCUCUGCUAGUCCAUUCUUUCUUACUCUGUUUGGGAUGCUGGUUUUGGCACAGAAAUGCUGGUGCUUAUGCUACAUGACAUGAUGCCACCUGAAAGCUGGAAUGGCUGCUAGAGGCUGGAUAUUAAUUUUUAAUUGUUAAUUAGUUCUCAUUAAUGUUUUUUCAUUAGCUGUCUUAAUCUCAGUCCUUCCCUGAAACUAUAAAAAUCCAUAAAAGGACUGAAAAGCAUAUCCUGACACUGUGCACACUGCUGAAAGGAGGAAUAUAGAAAACAAUUCUUGUAUUUAAUCUCUGUACACACUACUGAAGGUGGUGCAAACAUUGCAGAGGCAAUGGGCAAGAGGGGCUAGAUGACAAAUGCUGAAAUUUCUGAUUUAUUUGUGAGCAGUGUUUUAGCGUUCUCUUUAAACAGAAUAAAAAUGAGUUGUCAUAAGUUUUUAUUUCUUGCAGUAUAUAAAAUAUUUUAUUGAGUUUCUAUCUUUUAUUCAUGCUUCUGAAGCAUGCAUGAAUAUGAAAGUUUUUAGAGGCACAAUUGCAUUUCAUUAUUAAAAUUCAGAAUCGCCCUAUUAUAUAUAAAAGUAAAUAUUCUAAAAGACUUUUAUGGAUUUCACAUCUCAGUAUCACAUAGAUUAUUUUUCAGUGAUAGCCCUCAUCUUCUGCAAUAAGUUAGUGAACUGUCAUCUUUACAACAACAGAGAAACAAAGAACUAAAAUACUUUAAAAGAAGCAUAAGAUGUCUGUGGAAACUUGUGUCAGGGAUAUUUUUUCCAGUUAUUAUAUGCCACCAAAAGUAAUAUAAAAGAGAUCAACAUGGUUCCUGAUAAAAAAUAUGGGGAAAUUGGAUUUUAUUUACUAAAUAAAAGAGAAAGGAAACUUUCUCUGCAUAUUUCUCUGCAUAUUUCUGCAGCCAACAGACUCAGAUCAAACAUUUAUCAAUUUUUAAAUAUGUAAACUCAAGAGUUAAUACCAGGUGACUCAAAAAACCUUCAAAAAAUCAGGACACUUUUGGUUCAGAGACAAACUAAUUUUUAAUUGUAGUACAUAAAAGUGUUUUCAAGGCACAUUGUUAAAUUUAUUUGGAUUUAUCAACUAUUUUUUAUUUUAAGGUUUAUCUUGGUUGCAUAAAAAACUAGAGACAUACGUGAGAUUUAAUACAGCAGUCAUUUUAGGACAUCAGAGGUCUGCCUAUACAUUUCUUAAAGAGGUUUUUCUUGGAUAAAUCAUGUUUAAACAAUCGGACUGGCUUUCAUAGUGAAGUAAUUGGUUCAGUGGAUGAGGGGAUAGCUGUCAAUGUCACUUGAUUUUAGCAAUAGAAAAUUUCAACGUCCUUCUUGACAAGCUGUUGAGGCAUGGACUGUAUAGAUAGACCAUAAAUUUGUGAAAUCUUAUGCAACUACCAGGUUCAAAGGGUGGUUAAUGAAUCUAAGUGGUCAUUGGCUAAAAAUGGAGCUCCUCUGACACAUUUCUUGUAAAACCUUUGUUUUUAUUUUUCAGUCCUAUGACUUCUGAUAAAAGUGAAGUAUAUUUUAUUCAGAAGCAAUGGGCAAUGGUUUUAUUCAACAAAUGACUCACUAGAUGGGUAUGUGCAAGAAGAAUGUCUGCAUCUCAUAGGAAAUAAAAGCACCAUACAUUGGUUCCCUUCAGGUACUGGAAGACCACAAUGACAUAUCCUUGAUGCCUUCUCUUCUGCAAGAUGAGCAGCUUCAACUCUCAGCCUGUCUUCAUGGGAGAGAUGCUUCAGCCCUUUGAUAACCUUCCUGGCUCUUCUCUGCACUUACCCAAAGAAGGGCCAUAUCCUUCUCACGAUGGGCACUUCAGACCUGGAUGUGGAACUCCAGGUGGGGUCUCAAGAGGACAGAGGGGGAGAAUCAGCACCCUACCCUACUGGCCUUGUUUCUUUUGACACAGCCCUGGAUACAUUUGGCUUUCUGGGCUGCAAGCACACACUGCUGCCUUUUCUUUUGUGAAUAAAGUGUAAAGAAGUGGGACAAUGAAAAUAAAGGCAAUUUUCUGAUCAUGUCAA